RNAcentral lists this ribosomal RNA (270 nucleotides) under uncultured bacterium. RNAcentral's name for it is "partial 16S ribosomal RNA". It matches the Rfam family "Bacterial small subunit ribosomal RNA", at positions 29 to 324 of the family's 1533-position model. The record is from RNAcentral.
AACGAACGCUGGCGGCAGGCCUCAAACAUGCAAGUCUAGGGGGUGUAGCAAUACAUCACCGGCGGACGGGUGCGUAACGCGUGGGAAUGUACCUAUUGGUUCGGAACAACACAGGGAAACUUGUGCUAAUACCGAAUGUGCCCGUAAGGGGAAAGAUUUAUCGCCAAUGGAUCAGCCCGCGUUCGAUUAGCUAGUUGGUGAGGUAAUGGCUCACCAAGGCGACGAUCGAUAGCUGUUCUGAGAGGAAGAUCAGCCACACUGGGACUGAGA